AGUCGAACGAUAGUUGAGAGCUUGCUCUUGACGAAAGUGGCGCACGGGUGCGUAACGCGUAUGCAACCUACCUUAAUCAGGGGGAUAGCCCGAAGAAAUUCGGAUUAACACCGCAUAAAAACACAGGAUAGCAUUAUCCAAUGUUCAAAUAUUUAUAGGAUUAAGAUGGGCAUGCGUGUCAUUAGCUAGUUGGCGGGGUAACGGCCCACCAAGGCGACGAUGACUAGGGGAUCUGAGAGGAUGACCCCCCACACUGGUACUGAGACACGGACCAGACUCCUACGGGAGGCAGCAGUAAGGAAUAUUGGUCAAUGGAGGCAACUCUGAACCAGCCAUGCCGCGUGCAGGAAGACAGCCCUCUGGGUCGUAAACUGCUUUUAUUCGGGAAUAAACCUCAUUACGUGUAAUGAGCUGAAUGUACCGAAGGAAUAAGGAUCGGCUAACUCCGUGCCAGCAGCCGCGGUAAUACGGAGGAUCCAAGCGUUAUCCGGAUUUAUUGGGUUUAAAGGGUGCGUAGGCGGCUUAUUAAGUCAGGGGUGAAAGACGGUGGCUCAACCAUCGCAGUGCCCUUGAUACUGAUGAGCUUGAAUGAACUAGAGGUAGGCGGAAUGUGACAAGUAGCGGUGAAAUGCAUAGAUAUGUCACAGAACACCGAUUGCGAAGGCAGCUUACUAUGGUUUUAUUGACGCUGAGGCACGAAAGCGUGGGGAUCAAACAGGAUUAGAUACCCUGGUAGUCCACGCCCUAAACGAUGAAUACUCGCUGUUAGCGAUAUACAGUUAGCGGCUAAGCGAAAGCGUUAAGUAUUCCACCUGGGGAGUACGCCCGCAAGGGUGAAACUCAAAGGAAUUGACGGGGGCCCGCACAAGCGGAGGAGCAUGUGGUUUAAUUCGAUGAUACGCGAGGAACCUUACCCGGGCUUGAAAGUUAGUGAAUUAUCUAGAGAUAGAUAAGUGAGCAAUCACACGAAACUAGGUGCUGCAUGGCUGUCGUCAGCUCGUGCCGUGAGGUGUUGGGUUAAGUCCCGCAACGAGCGCAACCCCUAUGUUUAGUUGCCAGCAUGUAAUGGUGGGGACUCUAAACAGACUGCCUGUGCAAACAGAGAGGAAGGAGGGGACGACGUCAAGUCAUCAUGGCCCUUACGUCCGGGGCUACACACGUGCUACAAUGGAUGGUACAGAGGGCAGCUAGCUGGUAACAGCAUGCGAAUCUCAUAAAGCCAUUCACAGUUCGGAUAGAGGUCUGCAACUCGACCUCUUGAAGUUGGAUUCGCUAGUAAUCGCGUAUCAGCAAUGACGCGGUGAAUACGUUCCCGGGCCUUGUACACACCGCCCGUCAAGCCAUGGAAGUUGGGGGUACCUAAAGU
This 1366-nucleotide ribosomal RNA is filed under the name Pedobacter humi. Its description in RNAcentral is "bacterial SSU rRNA". It matches the Rfam family "Bacterial small subunit ribosomal RNA", at positions 60 to 1427 of the family's 1533-position model. Lineage: Bacteria; Pseudomonadati; Bacteroidota; Sphingobacteriia; Sphingobacteriales; Sphingobacteriaceae. The record is from RNAcentral.